UGUUAAACCACACAGAGCA
RNAcentral lists this unclassified non-coding RNA (19 nucleotides) under Mus musculus (house mouse). RNAcentral's name for it is "oocyte_clustered_small_RNA8418". Lineage: Eukaryota; Metazoa; Chordata; Mammalia; Rodentia; Muridae. The record is from RNAcentral.